This 425-nucleotide ribosomal RNA is filed under the name uncultured bacterium. Its description in RNAcentral is "partial 16S ribosomal RNA". It matches the Rfam family "Bacterial small subunit ribosomal RNA", at positions 354 to 796 of the family's 1533-position model. The record is from RNAcentral.
GUGGGGAAUCUUGCGCAAUGGGCGAAAGCCUGACGCAGCCAUGCCGCGUGAAUGAUGAAGGUCUUAGGAUUGUAAAAUUCUUUCACCGGGGACGAUAAUGACGGUACCCGGAGAAGAAGCCCCGGCUAACUUCGUGCCAGCAGCCGCGGUAAUACGAAGGGGGCUAGCGUUGCUCGGAAUUACUGGGCGUAAAGGGCGCGUAGGCGGAUCGUUAAGUCAGGGGGGAAAUCCCAGUGCUCAACUCUGGAGCUGCCCUUGAUACUGGCGAUCUUGCGUGUGAGAGAGGUGUGUGGAACUCCGAGUGUAGAGGUGAAAUUCGUAGAUAUUCGGAAGAACACCAGUGGCGAAGGCGACACACUGGCUCAUUACUGACGCUGAGGCGCGAAAGCGUGGGGAGCAAACAGGAUUAGAUACCCUGGUAGUCC